Molecule: ribosomal RNA, 467 nt
Filed under: uncultured bacterium
Lineage: Bacteria
Description: partial 16S ribosomal RNA
Rfam family: Bacterial small subunit ribosomal RNA
Source: RNAcentral
GACGAACGCUGGCGGCGUGCUUAACACAUGCAAGUCGAACGGAAAGGCCCUGCUUUUGUGGGGUGCUCGAGUGGCGAACGGGUGAGUAACACGUGAGUAACCUGCCCUUGACUUUGGGAUAACUUCAGGAAACUGGGGCUAAUACCGGAUAGGAGCUCCUGCUGCAUGGUGGGGGUUGGAAAGUUUCGGCGGUUGGGGAUGGACUCGCGGCUUAUCAGCUUGUUGGUGGGGUAGUGGCUUACCAAGGCUUUGACGGGUAGCCGGCCUGAGAGGGUGACCGGCCACAUUGGGACUGAGAUACGGCCCAGACUCCUACGGGAGGCAGCAGUGGGGAAUAUUGCACAAUGGGCGGAAGCAUGAUGCAGCAACGCCGCGUGCGGGAUGACGGCCUUCGGGUUGGAAACCGCUUUCGCCUGUGACGAAGCGUGAGUGACGGUAAUGGGUAAAGAAGCACCGGCUAACUACGU